RNAcentral lists this ribosomal RNA (508 nucleotides) under uncultured bacterium. RNAcentral describes it as "bacterial SSU rRNA". It matches the Rfam family "Bacterial small subunit ribosomal RNA", at positions 8 to 518 of the family's 1533-position model. The record is from RNAcentral.
AGAGUUUGAUUCUGGCUCAGAGUGAACGCUGGCGGCGUGCCUAACACAUGCAAGUCGAGCGGUUCCAGGGUAGCAAUACCUUGGAAUAGCGGCGAACGGGUGAGUAACACGUGGGUAAUCUCCCCUCGAGUGAGGAAUAAACCCUCGAAAGGGGGCCUAAUACCGCAUGAAACUCCGGGACUUAUGUCUUCGGAGUCAAAGCCGAAAGGCGCUUGAGGAUGAGCCUGCGUCCUAUUAGCUAGUUGGUAGGGUAAUGGCCUACCAAGGUUAUGAUGGGUAGCCGGCCUGAGAGGGUGUACGGCCACACUGGGACUGAGACACGGCCCAGACUCCUACGGGAGGCAGCAGUGAGGAAUUUUUGCGCAAUGGGGGAAACCCUGACGCAGCCGACGCCGCGUGGAGGAUGAAGGCCUUCGGGUCGUAAACUCCUGUCAGAGGUGAAGAAUGCCCGCAAGGGUUUGACGGUAACCUCAGAGGAAGCCCCGGCUAACUACGUGCCAGCCGCCGC